GUAUAAUAACCUAUCAUGUAUCAAGCUGUUCCUCAUAAUGCAGAACUCUUCUCUAAGACAGUGCCGCUUCUCCAAAAUAUGAUGUUUUGCCUAAAGGACAGUGACAGGUGACCAUUGUGAGGAAUAUUAGUAUUGGAUUUCCUCUCUGGGCCACAGGAACGCACUCACGCGCACUCUUCGCCUGGAAUAACACUGACAGGGCGUGUAACAUGUGCCAGCUCUUGCGUUUUUAGCAUGAAACCGAAAAAUAUGGCUUUGUUCAGAGAAACACAUGGUUUCUGGGGUUUUUUUUCUUCUCAGGACCAUUGUUUGGAAAUGUUUGGGAUUGUAUCUUGAAUUCUCUUUCCAUUCUGUCUUGCUCUUUUUAAAAAAAAAAAAAAAAAAAAAAAAAAGUUGCAAGUCCUCACAGGAAAAUUAUAAACAGAUGAGUGGGAUGGGAACAGAUCCUGUGCGUCAGCGACGUAGCAGAGACACCACGCUGAUUCCCAGGCUUUCUGAAGGCAAGCCGAUGCUUGAUGGCACAGAGAACCAGAAAAACUGGUCAGGGCUUUACCGUUAGCUGUCACUCUCACAUAAACACACAUACACCAUACGCCACAGGCAAGCACAUGACACAUACAAGUCCCUGCAGACUCUUCAGCGCCUGGCACAAUCAUCACUCAUCAGCCUUGACGGGCUCUGAGUUUUUAAAAAAAAAAAAAAAAAAAAAACCCCGAAACAUGGGAGUCUGGAUGUUCACACACAUAAUGCUUCGAAUGCGAGCUGUGGUUGUGAAACACUGCGGUCCUGUUGCACAAAGCUACUUGUGGAUGGCGCUCUGGUCCACGGGAUAUCACUCUUGCUGUGUUGCUUUGACAUUCUCUGGCACAAGCACGUCAAGUCCGAAGCUACACAAAGAGUGACCUGACACACUCGUACAAAAGCCUGUACCAACUCUCGAGUCCGGCCUGGUCCUCUCUCACGAAUUAAACCCAGAUCUCCUAUAGUUCAACAGACUGACAGCUCUUUCUGUGUGCCAGCACCCCUUUUCCUCCAAAGGUCCCUCAGGCCAGGAACAUAGGAUUGGUUAAACUGGCGAGUAAGCUCAACAGUCAAACAAGUUCCUCACUUGGCACUCUUCUGCAGCCUUUUAGACACCACAAGGCUCUGACUUGGCAGCAGCGAGCGAACGCAGCAAUUAAGUCGACUCUCUAACGGUUGCCGGCGUCCAUGACGCAAGGCCUGAAUGAAUCACGGGGAAUGAUUCAGAGAUCUCACACUGAGGCAGAAAAUGAGCCAACAGAGGAACAGAGAACGCACUUUACUCAUGAGUGCUGAUGUAUGUCUUGUGGUUUUCAUUCAGCUAAGGACGAAGGCACUUUAUUUGAAAAACUUGGGUCUGCGUUAAAAAAAAAAAGACUAAUAAGUAUCAUUUUUCUAGAAAGCAAUGCAGGAGGAUUUAUCGAAUGCUUAUUUGGGAAAUUCGAAGUUUGUCGGUAAAGGAGACCUUGUAGCCGUACUCACGUUCGACGCGUGUAAAUCGAAGACUGUGAUGAUGUCACACGAUGUGUCUUGGCCCGAAUCUGCGGAAGAUCGGCGGUAAAUUCGCGAGCUCCUCCGAAAAUUGCAGACUUCGCUUGAUUUCGUGAAAUUCUGGAGGGACUGGGGUACGGGCAUCGAUUUAUCACUUCACUUGUGCAGUAACAAGGAAUGAAACCUACACAAAGCAACUGUGUGAUGGAAGGAGCCGGGAUGAGUUAGCCAGGCCUGUUCACGUACAGUCCAUGUGUUUCUGUCAUCAUGGGUAUCAGGUUUGCGAGCUUCCCUCCUCCUCCUCCUGUGCCUUCGAGUGCCGUACCACUAAAUACUGCGAACACCACAGAAUCAUCAGUGGAGAGCAACAGGACAAGUAGAAGGAGAGGGAUUCGAGACUUCACUCAAAGCCAGAACAAAGAGCUCAGAGUCGAGUCAUGGCUCUGAGAAGGAAGCCAGAUUGAAUAUUUCACAUUUCAUCUUUCUGAGUGCUUUGACCUUUAAAAAGACCUCAAACAAUAAGGCAAAGUUUCCCGCCUUCCUUCACCUGUUGCUAAGGCUUUCUCAACACCGAACCACUUAACCGGACUUAAUAAUGACACAGUGAAACCUGUUGCUGUCCAUAGAAAACCAAUAAUAAAAACUCCCUGGCCACUUUUGUGCAAUCCUCCAACUUUAAUUGACCUGCACGUUUCUCCACAAGCCUCUCCCAUAAAAGUCAUCCAGUGGAAAAUACCUCAUACGCAGAAUCGGCACAGAAACCGGGCUUUCCGCAUUGUAAUAGCUGAACACCCAAACCGCAAGGCAAGCAUGCCUUUUUUAAUUUUUUUUAUUCUCCAGCACAGGACCCAUCAUAUUCACAUUGCUCCUUUCUUCUCAUUUCAUCUGUGUCAAAUUCCAUAACGAAAUCCAUCCAUUUCUUCAUUUAUUUGUUUCCUAUAUACGACUUCCAUGAUGACGUUACAUACUUGUG
Long non-coding RNA from Ictalurus punctatus (channel catfish), 2485 nucleotides. The record is from Ensembl. NCBI's taxonomy places the organism in Eukaryota, Metazoa, Chordata, Actinopteri, Siluriformes, Ictaluridae.